UAAGGAACAAGGUUUCCGUAGGUGAACCUGCGGAAGGAUCAUUAAAGAGUAAGGGUGCUCAGCGCCCGACCUCCAACCCUUUGUUGUUAAAACUACCUUGUUGCUUUGGCGGGACCGCUCGGUCUCGAGCCGCUGGGGAUUCGUCCCAGGCGAGCGCCCGCCAGAGUUAAACCAAACUCUUGUUAUUUAACCGGUCGUCUGAGUUAAAAUUUUGAAUAAAUCAAAACUUUCAACAACGGAUCUCUUGGUUCUCGCAUCGAUGAAGAACGCAGCGAAAUGCGAUAAGUAAUGUGAAUUGCAGAAUUCAGUGAAUCAUCGAAUCUUUGAACGCACAUUGCGCCCCUUGGUAUUCCGAGGGGCAUGCCUGUUCGAGCGUCAUUACACCACUCAAGCUAUGCUUGGUAUUGGGUGCCGUCCUUAGUUGGGCGCGCCUUAAAGACCUCGGCGAGGCCUCACCGGCUUUAGGCGUAGUAGAAUUUAUUCGAACGUCUGUCAAAGGAGAGGACUUCUGCCGACUGAAACCUUUUAUUUUUCUAGGUUGACCUCGGAUCAGGUAGG
Molecule: ribosomal RNA, 558 nt
Filed under: Aureobasidium pullulans
Lineage: Eukaryota; Fungi; Ascomycota; Dothideomycetes; Dothideales; Saccotheciaceae
Description: eukaryotic LSU rRNA
Rfam family: 5.8S ribosomal RNA (bases 225-378)
Source: RNAcentral